AUGGCCUUAGGGCUCAUAUUGGUUUCCUUUGUCCUUAUUUUAAAAGGUGGACAGGGUGAGGUGCAAUUGCUGGAGUCUGGGGGAGGAUUAGUGCAGCCUGGAAAGUUCCUGAAACUCUCCUGUGCAGCCUCUGGAUUUACUUUUGGUGACUAUGCCAUGCACUGGGUCCGCCAGGCUCCAGGGAAGGGGCUGGAGUGGGUAGCAUCCAUUAGUGAGAGUGGUAGCAAAAUCUUCUAUGCCAACGCUGUGAAGGGCCGGUUCACAAUCUCCAGAGACAAUGCCAAGAACACUCUGUACCUGGAAAUGAGCAGUCUGAGGUCUGAAGACACAGCCAUCUAUUACUGUGCAGCAGACACAGGAUUUUCUCUACAGAUAUAG
Non-coding RNA from Microtus oregoni (creeping vole), 378 nucleotides. NCBI's taxonomy places the organism in Eukaryota, Metazoa, Chordata, Mammalia, Rodentia, Cricetidae. The record is from the annotation of a RefSeq genome assembly.